GACAGAGGGUGCAAUCGUUGCUCGGAAUUACUGGGCGUAAAGCGUGCGCAGGCGGUCCGCAAAGUCUGAUGUGAAAGCCCCGGGCUCAACCUGGGAACUGCAUUGGAAACUAACGGGCUCGAGUGUGGCAGAGGGGGGUGGAAUUCCACGUGUAGCAGUGAAAUGCGUAGAGAUGUGGAGGAACACCGAUGGCGAAGGCAGCCCCCUGGGCUAACACUGACGCUCAGGCACGAAAGCGUGGGGAGCAAACAGG
This 253-nucleotide ribosomal RNA is filed under the name uncultured bacterium. RNAcentral describes it as "partial 16S ribosomal RNA". It matches the Rfam family "Bacterial small subunit ribosomal RNA", at positions 524 to 776 of the family's 1533-position model. The record is from RNAcentral.